This 1119-nucleotide long non-coding RNA is filed under the name Homo sapiens (human). Its description in RNAcentral is "non-protein coding lnc-TSPY4-10:1". The record is from RNAcentral. Lineage: Eukaryota; Metazoa; Chordata; Mammalia; Primates; Hominidae.
AUGACCAAUACUCACAAAACACAUUGCUAAUAAAAUUAUUAACUACUAAUUCAUUGAUCUUUCCACACCAUCUAACAUUUCUACAUGAUGAAACUUUGGAUCACUUCUUGGUGGCUGCCUAAUUCUCCAGAUCCUCACAGGAUUAUUCUUGGCCCUGCACUAUACUUCAGACACCUCAACUGCAUUUCCUUCAGUUGCUCAUAUCAGCCAAGAUGUAAACUGCAGUUGAAUGGUUUGUUAUUUUCAGGACAAUGGCCCUUCAAUAUUUUUCAUCUGCUUCUUCUUAUGUGUUGACCAAGGCUUAUAUUACAAAUCAUUUCUAUUCCUGGAAACCUGAAAUAUUGGCAUUAUCCUCCUAUUCACAACUAUAGCAUCAGCAUUCAUAGGCUACAUGCUCCCAUGGGACAAAUAUCAUUUUGAGGCACUACAGUAAUUACAAAUCUGCUAUCAGCCAUACAAUAUAUUGGAACUGACCUGGUACAAUGAAUCUGAGGCAGAUUCUCAGUGAACAAGGCCACCCUCAAACAACUAUUCAGAUUCAAUUUCAUCUUACUUUUCAACCCUACAGCUCUAGCAACGAUUCACCUUUUAUUCUUGCAUGAGAGAGGAUUUUUAGGAGUUUCAUCAGACCCAGACAAAAUCAUGCUCCACCCCUACUAUAAAACCAAAGAUAUCUAGGUUUAAUUUUUCUUCUCCUUCUAAUAACUCUAGUACUGUUUUCACCAGACCUCCUUAACAACCCAGAUAAUUAGAGUUUAGCCAACCCCCUCAAUACUCCACCCCACAUUAACCAAUACCUUUUUUUGGUGUACCCAAUCUUACUACCUAUCCCUAACAACCUAGGAAGUGUACUGGCCCUCAUAUCAUCCACUCUCAUUCUAGCAGUUAAGCAGUUAUUUCUGUACUUCACAAGUCUAAGCAACAAGGCAUCAUAUGCCAGCCAUUAAAUCAAUGCAUAUUCUGAAUCCUAGUGGCUGUUCUGUUUACAUUCACAUGAAUCGGAGGGAAGCCAUCAAAUACCCUUUUAUUGACAUCAGACAGACAGCAUCUAUCAUGUACUUCUCUACCAUCCUCACCCUUAUGCUGCUCACUACCCUAAUUGAAAAUAAAUUAUUUAAA